RNAcentral lists this ribosomal RNA (740 nucleotides) under Brevundimonas sp. G1-30. RNAcentral's name for it is "bacterial SSU rRNA". It matches the Rfam family "Bacterial small subunit ribosomal RNA", at positions 97 to 873 of the family's 1533-position model. Lineage: Bacteria; Pseudomonadati; Pseudomonadota; Alphaproteobacteria; Caulobacterales; Caulobacteraceae. The record is from RNAcentral.
GGCGGACGGGUGAGUAACACGUGGGAACGUGCCUUUAGGUUCGGAAUAGCUCCUGGAAACGGGUGGUAAUGCCGAAUGUGCCCUUCGGGGGAAAGAUUUAUCGCCUUUAGAGCGGCCCGCGUCUGAUUAGCUAGUUGGUGAGGUAAUGGCUCACCAAGGCGACGAUCAGUAGCUGGUCUGAGAGGAUGACCAGCCACAUUGGGACUGAGACACGGCCCAAACUCCUACGGGAGGCAGCAGUGGGGAAUCUUGCGCAAUGGGCGAAAGCCUGACGCAGCCAUGCCGCGUGAAUGAUGAAGGUCUUAGGAUUGUAAAAUUCUUUCACCGGGGACGAUAAUGACGGUACCCGGAGAAGAAGCCCCGGCUAACUUCGUGCCAGCAGCCGCGGUAAUACGAAGGGGGCUAGCGUUGCUCGGAAUUACUGGGCGUAAAGGGCGCGUAGGCGGACAUUUAAGUCAGGGGUGAAAUCCCAGAGCUCAACUCUGGAACUGCCUUUGAUACUGGGUGUCUUGAGUGUGAGAGAGGUGUGUGGAACUCCGAGUGUAGAGGUGAAAUUCGUAGAUAUUCGGAAGAACACCAGUGGCGAAGGCGACAUACUGGCUCAUUACUGACGCUGAGGCGCGAAAGCGUGGGGAGCAAACAGGAUUAGAUACCCUGGUAGUCCACGCCGUAAACGAUGAUUGCUAGUUGUCGGGCUGCAUGCAGUUCGGUGACGCAGCUAACGCAUUAAGCAAUCCGCC